RNAcentral lists this long non-coding RNA (1248 nucleotides) under Mus musculus (house mouse). RNAcentral describes it as "RIKEN cDNA 2600014E21 gene". The record is from RNAcentral. Lineage: Eukaryota; Metazoa; Chordata; Mammalia; Rodentia; Muridae.
AUGUUGACAGAUAUAGAAUCCUCUAUGGUGAGAGGAGUAUUUCUGAUCCCAUGAAUCAUCCUCUACUACCUCAUGUAUACAGGGCCAUCGCUCUACAGUCAAUGUAGAAAAUUGGAGCAUCACAGUGUCAGAUCAUUCCCACGCUAUCAAACCAAAUAUGACCAGUUGCUACUCUGAUCAAGGCUGACAGUUUGUCACACACUACUACUGCAGAGGCCAGAGCAUUUUGAAAGGCAAGAAACAGAACGGAAAUGGAGAGGAGAGCCCAGCAUGACUUGCGCCGUGCCAAAGGAAUACGCAGAAACGUCUACUCUUGAGCCUUCCAGUGGCCACUGGUACCUUUGGACCUUGAGCUGGAGCUGCAGCCUAGAGUUAUUAUUUAGCUUUGCCCUUUGUCUUUGAGAAAUAUCUUGAAAGAGCCAGGUUGGUCCAGACCUGCUGGCAAGCCUGCAGCCCCAUCCACCGAUUACCUAAUACACUUGUGACAUCUGCUUUCCUUGUUGUGAGAAAACACAGGGAGGAAGUGUGUAAGUCCACUGAAUUGUUCCUGACUCCUCUAUUCACCUUUCAGCAUGCAAGUUCCUUCCCUUGGCGUUGAUAUCAUUAUGCAUUUGUCAAAGAUAGACUGUCACUUUAGGGCCUCUAUUAUGCACAAGAAUUGGCAGCAAAUUUUGCCACUGGGAUUUGCUUAUGUCCUCUGUAUGUUAUUGUACUUCCCUGGCAUUCAGUAAAUUCCGUACACCCACUCCUUUGAUGUUCAUUCCAGCCCCUAAAUGUGGAAACAAUGACUGAAAUUUUGGAUCAAAGCAUCCCGUAGACGGCAGGCAGCAUAGCUCUCUGAUAAUUCACUAGAACACAGAGUUCCAUCCCUCCCCCCAUCUAAAAAUCUAGGCCAGUAGUCCCCCAAGCCCUCUGGCUUCCCCAGGCCAAAGGCACAAGAGGAAGUUAAAGAAAACAAGCUCAAAGUUGGAGUCAAAAGAAAGACACUGAACUACACAGCGCCAUUGAAGCUCAUGGUCAUAUGGAAGGCUGACUGCUGUACCAUCUGUUAAUCCAUUUCUCUUCACUGCUUUAGCUGGGCAAGGUCUCCCCCCCCCCCCCCCCCAGCAUUUGAACACUCUCCAGGUCCAAUUUCUGUAUAACGUCAGCUGCACAAAAUGACCUAUAUUUGUCAAAAUAAAAUUUUAAGUCCCGAAGUGUCCAUGGAGUAUAUAAUGGUAAAACUAAAAAAAUAAAAAUAAAAAUAAA